UGGGGAAUAUUGCACAAUGGGCGAAAGCCUGAUGCAGCAACGCCGCGUGAGUGAUGAAGGCCUUCGGGUCGUAAAACUCUGUCCUCAAGGAAGAUAAUGACGGUACUUGAGGAGGAAGCCCCGGCUAACUACGUGCCAGCAGCCGCGGUAAUACGUAGGGGGCUAGCGUUAUCCGGAUUUACUGGGCGUAAAGGGUGCGUAGGUGGUUUUUUAAGUCAGGAGUGAAAGGCUACGGCUCAACCGUAGUAAGCUCUUGAAACUGGAAAACUUGAGUGCAGGAGAGGAAAGUGGAAUUCCUAGUGUAGCGGUGAAAUGCGUAGAUAUUAGGAGGAACACCAGUAGCGAAGGCGGCUUUCUGGACUGUAACUGACACUGAGGCACGAAAGCGUGGGGAGCAAACA
Molecule: ribosomal RNA, 401 nt
Filed under: uncultured Eubacteriales bacterium
Lineage: Bacteria; Bacillati; Bacillota; Clostridia; Eubacteriales
Also listed under: 1 other name
Description: uncultured Clostridiales bacterium partial 16S ribosomal RNA
Rfam family: Bacterial small subunit ribosomal RNA
Source: RNAcentral